UCUUGCUUCGGCCCGAAAUAUAUAAAAUUGGAACGAAACAGAGAAAAUUGCAAGGCCCCUGCGCAAAGGGGUGGCACGCCAAAUGUUUAAGGGGUUUUCCACAUUUUU
Non-coding RNA from Cherax quadricarinatus, 108 nucleotides. The record is from RefSeq and is a predicted model, not a curated record. NCBI's taxonomy places the organism in Eukaryota, Metazoa, Arthropoda, Malacostraca, Decapoda, Parastacidae.